Molecule: small nuclear RNA, 160 nt
Organism: Hyaena hyaena (striped hyena)
Lineage: Eukaryota; Metazoa; Chordata; Mammalia; Carnivora; Hyaenidae
Product: U1 spliceosomal RNA
Exons: 1
Source: RefSeq, a predicted model, not a curated record
AUACUUACGUAGCAGGGGGUACACGGCGACCACCAAGGUGUUCUCCCAGGGUGAGGCGCAUACACUGCACCUAGGCCACACUGACCUUUGUGAUUUCUCCAGAUGUGUGAAAAUGAACUGAACUGUGCAAAAAAAAUUUUUAACACUGAUUUUUAUUUUU